GACAGAGGGGGCAAGCGUUGCUCGGAAUCACUGGGCGUAAAGGGCGCGUAGGCGGGAUGGCAAGUCGGUCGUGAAAUCCUUCGGCUCAACCGAAGAACGUCGGCCGAUACUGCCGUUCUUGAGGGAUGCAGAGGAGAUUGGAAUUCCCGGUGUAGCGGUGAAAUGCGUUGAUAUCAUCAGGAACACCGGUGGCGAAAGCGGCUUACUGGGUCUCUUCUGACGCUGAGGUACGAAAGCUAGGGGAGCGAACGGG
This 253-nucleotide ribosomal RNA is filed under the name uncultured bacterium. RNAcentral describes it as "partial 16S ribosomal RNA". It matches the Rfam family "Bacterial small subunit ribosomal RNA", at positions 524 to 776 of the family's 1533-position model. The record is from RNAcentral.